UACAGAGGGGGCAAGCGUUGUUCGGAAUUACUGGGCGUAAAGGGCGCGUAGGCGGUUGGAUAAGUCAGCUGUGAAAACCACGGGCUUAACUCGUGGCCUGCAGUUGAGACUGUCUGGCUUGAGUGUGGGAGAGGAGAGUGGAAUUCCUGGUGUAGCGGUGAAAUGCGUAGAUAUCAGGAGGAACACCGGUGGCGAAGGCGGCUCUCUGGACCACAACUGACGCUGAGGCGCGAAAGCUAGGGGAGCAAACAGG
RNAcentral lists this ribosomal RNA (253 nucleotides) under uncultured bacterium. Its description in RNAcentral is "partial 16S ribosomal RNA". It matches the Rfam family "Bacterial small subunit ribosomal RNA", at positions 524 to 776 of the family's 1533-position model. The record is from RNAcentral.